CGUUCUGCCAAUUCUUUUUCAGCAAAGAGACAAGGAAGUUAACACUCAGUUGUACAUUUUGGAAGAUUUGCUUUUCCUCCAUGCUAACAUUCCCCACAGCUACUCCCAUGCAGAGAACCUUCUUAAGCUGGAACUUGACCAUGGCCUUGGUCUCAUUAACCUUUGACUCGAGAGAUUCUUGGUGAGUCACAAGUGUAGGGAACUUCCCUGCAAAGUCAACCAAAUCAAUCAUAAAUCAGCUAAAGCAACAUUGAAAUUUAAAACCCAGAAAAUAACAAAACUUUAAAACAGAGCAUCUUACUAGAUGGAAAAGAAAGGAACAAUAUACCAUAUUCGAUAUGAUACAGAAAGCCACUUGAAAGAUUUUAUAAUGUUCGUACUUAAAAACAGAGCAUGUAAUAGCAGAAUGUGACCAACGAUUAACAAAAAAAAAACACAGCAAUGACCGAUGUAAGUUAUUAAAACAAGCAAAUCACCAAGUUCUCUCUAAAAUGUCCAAAAGAGAUUCAAAAUCCAAAACAAUAAAACAUGCCUGCCUUGUUGAGACCAGGUCCCAAGAGACGAGGAAUCUGCUUGAUGACUGCUUCAGAGGCUAAAAAGGCAUGAUAUUUUUUGGCUAGUUUUUUCACCAACUUUUUGUUUUUGUUAAGCUUCUUCAAGGCCUCAACAUCCAUGUAGUCCAAUCCUAUCUUCUCAGC
RNAcentral lists this long non-coding RNA (698 nucleotides) under Glycine max (soybean). RNAcentral's name for it is "long non-coding RNA (GMAX_LNC003037)". Lineage: Eukaryota; Viridiplantae; Streptophyta; Magnoliopsida; Fabales; Fabaceae. The record is from RNAcentral.